AUAUUUAACAAGCACGUCACGUAUACAGCCUCUUCAAUCCUGACAUAAUAUAAUGCUAGGUGGCAGUGGCAAGUUCCAAAAUGUUCAAUGACAUCACAAAACCCGGUCGAGUCGAUAUUCGGCUAUUCUAUAUAGUAUGGUGCACGGUAGGUAACCGUUUUUCACACCCCUCGUAAUUGCCUUUACUUUACGGAGAAUAAAAAAG
Molecule: non-coding RNA, 205 nt
Organism: Cinara cedri
Lineage: Eukaryota; Metazoa; Arthropoda; Insecta; Hemiptera; Aphididae
Source: the annotation of a GenBank genome assembly